AAUUAAAAUACAAUGUGAAAGGAUAUCAAUGAUACGAUUCGCUGAUGACAUUGCUAUCCUGAGUGAAAGUGAAGAAGAAUUAAAUGAUCUGCUGAACGGAAUGAACAGUCUAAUGAGUACACAGUAUGGUUUGAGAGUAAAUCGGAGAAAGACGAAGGUAAUGAGAAGUGGUAGAAAUGAGAACAGCGAGAAACUUAACAUCAGGAUUGAUGGUCACGAAGUCAAUGAAGUUAAGGAAUUCUGCUACCUAGGCAGUA
Schistocerca cancellata (South American locust) is the source of this 257-nucleotide long non-coding RNA. RefSeq lists it as uncharacterized. Lineage: Eukaryota; Metazoa; Arthropoda; Insecta; Orthoptera; Acrididae. The record is from RefSeq and is a predicted model, not a curated record. The transcript is spliced from 3 exons.